UACAGAGGGUGCUAGCGUUGUUCGGAAUCAUUGGGCGUAAAGGGCGUGUAGGCGGUUUGUUAAGUCAUGUGUGAAAUCCCUCGGCUCAACCGAGGAAAGACGCAUGAAACUGGCAAGCUAGAGUACCGAAGAGGGGGGUGGAAUUCCCGGUGUAGCGGUGAAAUGCGUAGAUAUCGUAAGGAAGACCAGUGGCGAAGGCGGGUCUCUGGACAGUUCCUGACGCUGAGGCACGAAGGUCAGGGGAGCAAACGGG
This 253-nucleotide ribosomal RNA is filed under the name uncultured bacterium. Its description in RNAcentral is "partial 16S ribosomal RNA". It matches the Rfam family "Bacterial small subunit ribosomal RNA", at positions 524 to 776 of the family's 1533-position model. The record is from RNAcentral.